UGGGGAAUCUUCCGCAAUGGACGAAAGUCUGACGGAGCAACGCCGCGUGAGUGAUGAAGGUCUUCGGAUUGUAAAACUCUGUUGUCAGGGACGAAAGCACCGAUCUAUAAUACAUUUUGGUGUUGACGGUACCUGACGAGGAAGCCACGGCUAACUACGUGCCAGCAGCCGCGGUAAUACGUAGGUGGCAAGCGUUGUCCGGAAUUAUUGGGCGUAAAGAGCAUGUAGGCGGGCUUUUAAGUCCGACGUGAAAAUGCGGGGCUUAACCCCGUAUGGCGUUGGAUACUGGAAGUCUUGAGUGCAGGAGAGGAAAGGGGAAUUCCCAGUGUAGCGGUGAAAUGCGUAGAUAUUGGGAGGAACACCAGUGGCGAAGGCGCCUUUCUGGACUGUGUCUGACGCU
Molecule: ribosomal RNA, 400 nt
Filed under: uncultured bacterium
Lineage: Bacteria
Description: bacterial SSU rRNA
Rfam family: Bacterial small subunit ribosomal RNA
Source: RNAcentral